UCUAUUUUCUCUGUAAAACAUUCAAAGCGUAAUAGAGCUGAAGCGAAAUCAUAUUUACAUCUUGUGUUCACUUACUCAUUCAUUCUUCAAAAUCAAUUCUGAUUAAUAUCAUACUCAAUUCAUUGAUUCAUCAGUUCCAAUGAGAACAUUUUUCCCGUGAAAACAUUUGAGAACAUUUUUUAACCUAUGAGUUCAAAAAAACACGCUUUUUUGUUAUUCAAAUACAAAUUAUCCAACCUAACUUCCCCCACCAUAUUAUGUCAUUCUCUCUCCUCUCAUACAGACCUAAAUUGACAGUAUCGGACCACCACCGGAAACCGUCGGGAACCACCAGCCUUCAGACGUCUGACCACCUCUGAAUUGUCGGACCUCCGGUGUAAUAACCUUAUCGCCACCAUAUCGUUGUUGGAUCAACAAACUUCCGCCUUUUAAAUCCUUCCAAAUCUGCAACACCACCUCUCAUAAUCGAAAUCCAUCUUCGUCUACCUCUCAUCUUCUGGAACCAUCACCAGAUCUUGGUACAUCGGCUACUAUCAUCGGAUGUUGUUUCCCCUUUUCCUGUUCUAACCUUCUACAGCCACAAGAGCAAAAUCGUUUUUUGAAUUUCAACUCAAAUGCUCCCCCAUCUGCCUUACGAACACGCACUAAAUCACGUAUCCUCACUUAGUGAAGAAAAAUUUGAAGUCUAACGCAGGGAACUAUCAACAAUGUUGAUCUAGAAGUAUUUUUUUCCUUCAAUUAGAAACAUACUUCCUAGAUCCAGAUUUGUAAAGCACAAAAGGACUUCAAACCCUAAGCUAUCUCGAUUCAGUAGUAAAAACGUCCCACCAAAAGAUCCGAACAUUCACGUUUGUGAACUGCCUUCCGUUGUAAAGGAAUCAUCGUGAAUCGUCUCUGAUUUCAGAAGAAAAGUCACCAAAUUGGAAAUGCAGCAACAAGAACGUCCCCUCAAAUCCAUCUGUUUAGGUUAUAAUAUAAAAUUAUCAAUGCUUGAUGCUUGAGGUCGGCGUUUCAUCAUUCAUGCCUACUUUACAUUGGUCAUUUCCUUAAUGCCCUUUCUUUUCACUGUGCAUAUAUUUUUUUUAUUAAAUGCUUUUUUUUUUAUAUAUUUAAAAGUAAGAUACACUUCACAUAUGUUUUCUUUAGAUUUGUGUACUAUUUUAUUAGUUUUUUCUUUAUACAAUAAUGAGCUCGUUUUAGCAUAUGUCGACGCAUUCAUUUAAUUUUGAUUCCAAUAGCCUUCAUAAUUUAUUUUUAGGGGAAAAUAUAAAUCUAGCCAAAAUCCUUAAUUAUUUAUCAAAAAAUAGCAAAAAAAAAACUCUUUAGCCAAAAAUAGCCCACAAAAGAGUAGUCAACUAUAGGUUGACUAUUGUUUCGCCAAAUCGUCUACUGUUUCGAGUUUUGUAUAAUUUUUUUUUUCAUUUUUAGGAUACAAAACCGUAAGAUUUUUAAAACAUACGGUUUCCCUUUUUUUGUAGUUAAAACCCCCAAAACAGUAGAUUUAAAAAAAAAAAAAAAAAAAAAAAAAAAAAAAAAAAAAAAACGGUAUUUUUUUUACUAAAAACCAUAGCUACGGUUUGGGAAACCGAAGGUUUCAAGAGGAAACUGUAGGUUUUAAAAACCUAUGGUUUUUUAUCCUAAAAAUGAAAAAAAAUUAUACAAAACACGAAACAAUAGACGAAUAUCGAAACCGUAGGUUUCGUGGGCUAUAUUUAGACAUUUAUUAAUUUUUUACUAUAAAUUACUAAUGACUUCCUUAAUUUGGUUAGAUUAGUAAUUGCUCCUUGUUUUUAUUAUUAAUGCAUUAGAUGUUAAUUUGGAUAUCCAAGGUUUUGACAAUGUCAUAAAAUUAUAUUUUAUACACUUUAAAAUUUUAAAAUUCCAACUAUUUGAUGAUAUUCGUAAAGCGAGCAAACCUUCUACAAAUAAUGCUUAAUGUUUAAACAAAACUAAAUUAAAAUGUACAAAAAAAUAAAAUCUAAAUAGAAAACCCUUCAAAAAUUAUGAAGCUAAGUUUUGGCUUAUUCUAGCGGGUUUAAUAUUUUGAAUGGGGCAUCUAUUUCUUUUGCAUAUUGGAUACAUCAAGUAAAUAAUUAAUUUAAAUUUUGAAAAAUAUAUAAGAAAUGAAAUUAUAUAGAUUAAAAAGGAUAGUAGUUCAUAAAAAUGUAUUUUACAAAUAGAAAAUAACGUUUCUAGAACAUUUUGUAUGUACAAAAUAAAUCAUAUAAAUAUAAUUGGUUUUAUUUUUAAUGACAUAUAAUAUUUUGUGAUUAAUACAUAUAAUCACAUGUGAUUACAUACAUGAGAAUAAUAAUUGAAUUUCAAAUGUAAAAAUGAAUCUCGUUUACAUAAAUCAUAUGUGAUUAAAUACAUAUAACAUGUGAUUAAAUGCACAAAAACAAUUAUUGGAAUGAUAAAGCAAAAAAAUAUACAUUAUCCAUAUUAAUGGUAUCUGAUUAAAUACUUAUAAUCACAUGUGAUUAAAUACAUGAGAAAAUAUUGAAUCGAGAAUUUAAAAACGAAUAUUAUACAUAUAAAUCAUAUGUGAUUAGAUAAACAAAAUCAUAUAUGAUUAUAUGUAACUAAUUAGUUUGGAAGCUAAUGUGCGUUGAACUGUUGAUUAUUGUUGGAUGAGAACAAUACUAUGGAAAGGAUGAUGCAAUUUGUAAAUAGAGGAAAUGAUGUGGAAGCCAUUGCCAAAAAAUAAAAAAAAAUAAAAAAAAAUAAAAAAAAAAAAGCACCAUCAGGUGGAGAAACCACACUACACGUUUGAAAUAGGUAUAUUUUCUUGACUAUUUGACUUUAUAAUUAGGUUAAUAUCCAAUUGGUCCUUAAAUGUAAUUGUAUACACGAUAACAUGUAAUUAUAUACAAUAUACCAAAUAUUGAACCAAUAUUGUGAAAACAAAUGUUUAUCCAAAUUAAUCAUAUGUGAUUAAAUAGAUAUAAUCACAUAUGAUUAUAUGAAUCUAAUCACAUAUGAUUUAUGUGGACAUAAUUCCUUUUUGCUGUGUCGAUUUAAUAGUUUUUCUCAUGUAUUUUAUCACAUGUGAUUAUAUGUAUAAUCGUAUGUGAUUAAGUACAUGAGCACAACUAUUGAAUAUAGAAGGGAAAAAUGAAUGUUGUCCACCUCAAAUCAUAUGUGAUUAUAUACAUAUAAUCACAUGUGAUUAAUUACACAAAAGCAAUUCUUCAAUUGAAACCACAAAAAUAAAUAUUGUCUACAUAAAUCAUAUAUGAUUAAAUACAUGUAAUCACAUGUGAUUAUAUGUAUCCAAUCAUAUAUGAUUUAUGUAGACAAUAUUUAUUUUUGUGGUUUCGAUUGAAUAAUUGCUUUUGUGUAAUUAAUCACAUAUCCAAUCAUAUAUGAUUUAUGUGGAUACGAUUCAUUGUCACAUUCUCGAUUCAGUAAUCGUUCUUUGUCAACUGGAAUCAUAUAUGAUUAAAUACAUAUAAUCACAUGUAAUUAUAUGUAUCUAAUCACAUAUGAUUUAUAUUGACAAAAAAUAAUGAUGCCUAAAUAAAUCAUAUGUGAUUAGAUACAUAUAAUCACAUAUGAUUAUAUACACGAGAAAAACUAUUGAAUCGAGAACACAAAUAUCAAUAUUAUCCACAUAUAUCAUAUGUGAUUAAAUGCAUAUAAUCACAUGUGAUUAUUUGUAUCUAAGCACAUAGAAUUUAUGUGGAAAAUAUUUAUUUUCGCGUUCUCGAUUCAGUUGUUGUUCUUGUGUGCUUAAUUACAUGAGAGUAUAUGCAUCUAAUUAGAUAUGAUUUAUAUGUACAAUAUUCAUUUUCACAUUCUUGUUCAAUGAUUAUUCUUGUACAUUUAGUCAUAUAUGAUUUCUAUACACAAGAUUCAUUUUCUCGUUUUUGAUUAAAUAGUUUUUCUUUUUCCACAUUAAUCAUAUGUGAUUAAUACAUAAAAUCACAUAUGAUUAAAUACAUAAGAAAAAAUAUUAACUCGUGAAUAUUAUCAAUACAAAUCGUAUGCGAUAUGAUACAUAUAAUCAGAUUUGAUUAAGUACAUGAGUACAACUAUUGAAUUAAGAAGGAAAAUGAAUCUUGUCCACAUAAAUCAUAUGUGAUUAAAUACAUAUAAUCACAUGUGAUUAAAUAUAUUAGAUCAAUUAUUGAAUCGAUGCAAGAAUAAACAUUUUCCAUACGAAUCAUAAGUGAUUAAAUAUAUAUAAUCACAUAUGAUUAAAUACACAAGAACAACUAUUGAAUCAACACGUGAAAACAACUAUUGUCCAUAUAAAUCAUAUGUGAUUAAAUACAUACAAUCACAUGUGAUUUAAUACACGAUGCCAAUUAUUAAAUCGAAACAGGAAAAUAAAUAUGGCCCACGUAAAUAAUAUUUUAUUAAAUACAUAUAAUCACAUAUAGUUAUAUGUAUCUAAUCACAUAUGAUUUAUGUGGACAAUAUUCAUUUUUGCAUUCUCGAUUCACUAGUUUUUCACGUGUAUUUAAUCACAUGUGAUUAUAUGUAUUUAAUAACAUAUAAAUCAUAUAUAAUUCGAUACAUAUAACAACAUGUGACUCGACACAUAUAAUCAUAUGUGAUUAUAUACAAGAGAAAACCUAACGAAUCAAAAACACAAUAACAAAUCUGUGUAGGUGGGGGUGAGGGUGGUGGUGGCGGGUAGUGGAGGCGGGGUGGUGGUGAUUGGUGGUGAUCGUGUGUUGUGAAGGGUGGUGGUGGGUGGGUGGGUGGGUGGCUGCAAGUGGUGGUGAUAGUGACGGGUGAUGGUUUUGGUGUGUGGUGGCGGCGAGUGGUGAUGGUUGGGUGGUGAUGAUGAUGGGUGGUGAUGGUGGUGGCGGGUAGUGGUUAGUGGUAGUGGUGGGUGGGUGGUGGUGAUGGUAGGUGGUAGUGGGUGGUGGUUGGUAGUGGUGGGUAGUGGUGGCGGGUGGUGGUUGGUGGUAAUAGUGAUGGGUGAUGAUGAUGGUGGCAGGUGGUGGUUGGUAGUAGUGGUGGGUGGUGGUUGGUGGUGGUGGUGGUGGUGGGUAGUGAUGGGUGGUUGGUAGGGAUGGGUGGUGAUGGUGGUGGUGGGUGGAAAUGGUGGUGGCGGGUGGUAAUGGGUGGUGGUGGUGGUGGUGGUGGGUUGUGAUGGGUGGUGGUUGGUGGUGGUGGGUAGUAAUGGGUUGUGGCGGGUGGUGGUUGGUGGUAGGUGGUGGUGGCUAGUAAUGGAUGGUGGGUGCUGGUUGGUGGUGGUGGUUAAUGAUGGGUGGUGGUGACGAGUGAUGGUGGUUGGCGGUGUUGGGUUUUGAUGGAUGGUGGGUGGUGGGUGGUGGUGGGUAGUGAUGGGUGGUGGUGGUGACGGGUAGUGGUUGGUGGUGAUGAAGGUGGGUGGUGGUGGUGGUUGUGGUGGGUGGGUAGUGGUUGGUGGUGGUGGGUAGUGGUGGGUGGUGGUGGUAGGUAGUGGUUGUUGGUGGUGGCGGCGGGCGGUGGUUGGUGGUGGUGGGUAAGUGGUGGUGGGUGGUGGGUAGUGGUUGGUGGUGGUGGUGAUGGGUGGUAGGUGGUGGGUGGUGAUGGGUAGUAAUUGUUGGUGGUGGCAAGUGGUGGUGAUGGGUGGUAGGUGGGGGAUGCAGGUGGUGCUGGAAGGUGGUGGAGGUAGGUGGUGGUGGGAGAUGGUGGUGAUGGUUGUGGGUGGUGAUGGUGGUAGCGGGAGGUGGUGGAGGUGGGUGGUGGUGGAUGGUGGGUAGUGAUGGGUGGUGGGUGGGGGUUGGUGGGUGGUAGUUGGUGGUGGUGGUGGCGGGUGGUGGUGAGGGAUGGUGUUGGUUGGGUGGUGAGUGAUGUUAGUUAAUGAGUUUUUUAAUUGUUUGUAAUUAUUUUUGGAUUUAUAUGAAUAUUAUUUUAUUAUUUUAAUUAAAAAAAUUGUGUUUUUCAAA
Molecule: long non-coding RNA, 5888 nt
Organism: Lactuca sativa (garden lettuce)
Lineage: Eukaryota; Viridiplantae; Streptophyta; Magnoliopsida; Asterales; Asteraceae
Source: RefSeq, a predicted model, not a curated record